RNAcentral lists this ribosomal RNA (157 nucleotides) under Odoribacter splanchnicus. RNAcentral's name for it is "partial 16S ribosomal RNA". It matches the Rfam family "Bacterial small subunit ribosomal RNA", at positions 1 to 147 of the family's 1533-position model. The record is from RNAcentral. Lineage: Bacteria; Pseudomonadati; Bacteroidota; Bacteroidia; Bacteroidales; Odoribacteraceae.
UUUUUACUAUGAAGAGUUUGAUCCUGGCUCAGGAUGAACGCUAGCGACAGGCUUAACACAUGCAAGUCGAGGGGCAGCAUGAGGUAGCAAUACCUUGAUGGCGACCGGCGCACGGGUGAGUAACGCGUAUGCAACCUGCCUGAUACCGGGGUAUAGC